Molecule: unclassified non-coding RNA, 327 nt
Filed under: Erucastrum gallicum
Lineage: Eukaryota; Viridiplantae; Streptophyta; Magnoliopsida; Brassicales; Brassicaceae
Description: sequence contains ITS1, 5.8S rRNA gene and ITS2
Source: RNAcentral
AGGACACUCCUGGCGUCCUUAGGUCGUAUUUUGGCCAAGCGCGUGCGGUACCACCCGGGAGACCAGCUUCCGUCCCAUUUCCGCGAGAGCAAGGGGGGAGGACAAUUUGUGACCCCCAGGCAAACRUGCCCUCGGACARAAGGCUUGGGGCGCAACUUUYGUUCAAAGACUCGAUGGUUCACGGGAUUCUGCAAUUCACACCAAGUAUCUCAUUUCGCAACCUUCUUCACCGAUGCSAGAGCCCAGAUAUCCGUUGCCAAGAGUCGUUUUAGACUUUACUUUGCUGAAAUGCUUCCACCCAARCACCRUCUCCGGUUUGAAGAAAAC